GAAAAAACGAAUACGCUGGAUUUACUAAAAAAUAAUAAUAUGUAGUGCACAAUCUUUGCACCCACUUUUUAAAGUAAGUUUUACAUGGAAUUUAAAGCAGUUUAAGCAUUUGCAAUUUUUAAAGUAAGCUUUACAUGGAAUUUUAAGCAGUUUAGGCUAAAAAAAAAUUAAGCAAUUGCUUAAAAUUCCACGUGAAACUUGCUUAAAAAGAGGGACGCAAAAAUGAUGCACUAUAUUUUUUAGUAAAUCGAGCUAAUUAUUUUUAACACUGUAAAAUGAUUUUAAUUCUCAGCAAAUAUAGCUUAAAAAUACAAGCAGAUUUUACUAAUAAAUUUAAGUAAAAUUGAUUCAUGUCCUUAGCAAAUAUAGCUAAAAUAAAUGUAAAGAUUUUGCUUAUUAAUUUAAGUUUUGCACAUUACUUGAAUUAUGGCUAUAAUCAUUACUAAAUAUACUGAGCUUUUGGUUUACUUAUAAAAAUUGUUAACACUAUAAGCAAUUUUGAGCAAAGUCAAGAGUCACGUGACGCAGAUCGGGAGCCUGCGCAGCAGCCAUUUUAAACGGUGGUGUUACUGUUAAGACCUCUUCAGGAAUUAAGGUAAGUAAAAUUACAUUCUACAUUUAAAUGUAACGUGUCAUAAAGUCCGUUCAUGGAAGGGAACUUCGUUGCCUUUAUAGUUUGUUUCCGACGGACCAUUAAACAGUUGCCACUGACCUGAGAGCUGUGACAGACAGCUGAGCUCUCUGAUAUCGUUCAUGUUGUGCGUUCAUGUCAAAUAUAGGGGGCGCACCAGAUGACACUCCACUUGAGGCUGAAAUAGUUCUGGAAUGGUGUUCAGGUUCUGUGAGAAUUGUCCAGUCUCACCAAAGCAUGCAUUUCCUUGUUUGGCCUAAUAUAUUGUCUUGAUCUUAAGACUUGGGUACACUUUUAAAUUCUUUAAAAAAUACUGCUGCACUUACACAGUGCAAAACUGUCUCAGAAGAUUUUAACAUUAAAAAAUAAACUGAG
Molecule: non-coding RNA, 1006 nt
Organism: Misgurnus anguillicaudatus (oriental weatherfish)
Lineage: Eukaryota; Metazoa; Chordata; Actinopteri; Cypriniformes; Cobitidae
Source: RefSeq, a predicted model, not a curated record